RNAcentral lists this ribosomal RNA (468 nucleotides) under uncultured bacterium. RNAcentral's name for it is "partial 16S ribosomal RNA". It matches the Rfam family "Bacterial small subunit ribosomal RNA", at positions 28 to 507 of the family's 1533-position model. The record is from RNAcentral.
GACGAACGCUGGCGGCGUGCUUAACACAUGCAAGUCGAACGGAAAGGCCCUGCUCUUGUGGGGUGCUCGAGUGGCGAACGGGUGAGUAACACGUGAGUAUCCUGCCCCUGUCUUUGGGAUAACUCCAGGAAACUCCGGCUCUUAUAGGAUAGGAGCUCCUGAUGCAUGGUGGGGGUUGGUAAGUUUCGGCGGUUGUGGAUGGACUCGCGGCUUAUCAGCUUGUUUGUGGGGUAGUUGCUUACCAAGGCUUUGACGGCUAGCCUGCCUGGGAGGGGGGCCGGGCACAAUGGGACUGAGAUACGGCCCAGACGCCUACGUGAGGCAGCAGUGGGGAGUAUUGCACAAUAGGCGGAAGCCUGAUACAGCAACGCCGCGUGCGGAAUGACGGCCUUCGGGUUGUAAACCGCUUUCGCCUGUGACGAAGCGUGAGUGACGGUAAUGAGUAAAGAAGCACCGGCUAACUACGUG